AUUCUGUCUAAAAGGCAACAACUAACCACAGUAAAGCUUUGAAAUGUAGUUGGUUUCCUGCAAUCAACUAAAUCAUUUUCUUUAGUCAUGACUAAUUGAGAAUUGUUUUUCUUCUCUCAGGUUCUUGAUUUGCCAAACUGGAUGUUUCAGAACCUCGUCCAACUUAGUUACCGAAAAGUGAUGGAGAACCUUGAUCUACAUCACACACUGUCUUAAAGCGUGGCGUUCCAGAGCGUGAAACGUACAGCAAACUCAAACAAAAUGAGAGAUUUCCUCUGCUCGGUGAGUACCAUCGGAGAGAGAGGGAAAAAAAGUCUUGCCAGAAAUAAGAAACGCGAUUUGGGUGUUUUUGACUUUUCUUUGCCUCGUCGUUGCAGGGAGUCGAUUCCUGGUCAUGCACAGCAAGUCUGACCGAAACACUAAGCACGUAGAAAUGGGAUUCCUGUGUUUGCUCUGUCAGAGGACGUUGUCGGGCGAAGAAUGUCACGCUCAUGUGUUCAGUCGGGAACAUGUUGCAAGAUUUCUGGACCGUUUCCACCCCGGCUCCCUGACUUCGAGCACUGAUGCAGAGACUUUAAUGGACUUGGCAAAACAGGCGGGGCGUGUUCACACCAUAUCACAUAUCCAGGUAUUCUUUAUCAGAAAUUGAGUUUCUGUACCAUCUUCAUGUCUCAUCUCUUCUAGUCAGGCAUUUAUUCUUUUGCAUUCAUGCAAUUAUUCCAUAUUUUCUGCCUUCAAAGGUAAUAAAGUUAGACAUGCCCAUCUGGGAGCCAUACUCCUACUCUACUGGUGAGCAUUUCUAAUGCAAUAAAUGUUCCACAUUGUCAUCUGUAAUUGUGGAUUGGUUUCUUGACUCAUUUUAUACUCUUUUGUUCCAGCAAUAACCAUCCUGACAUCUGCAAAGUGGAGAGUUGGAAAAGCAGAGCUUGAACCCACAAUUAUUCCUAAACAAAAGCUGGGUAAGUCAUGGCAAUGUGCUAUGUGCAAUAUGACCCCUGGUACUGGUACGGUUAUGGAAACAUACAUUUCUGGAGUAAUGAGGCUUGUGAGGUGGGAACCUAUUAUGAGAGUAAAUUCUUAUUCACACAUUUCUACAUGUAUUUCUAUAUUCUUCAUUUUUGACAGCUCAUUUUUAGUUUUUGUAUUAUUGCUUGCAUGUCGAUGAUUAUAAUUGAAUGCUUUUUUUUUUUGUU
RNAcentral lists this long non-coding RNA (1193 nucleotides) under Cottoperca gobio. RNAcentral describes it as "lncRNA (ENSCGOG00000023281.1)". The record is from RNAcentral. Lineage: Eukaryota; Metazoa; Chordata; Actinopteri; Perciformes; Bovichtidae.